AAAUAUCCAACCUGAAGGCGUGUUUUAUAUAUUGUCCCAAAUUCAGGUGUUUUGGAGUUAUUGCCUGUGACAAAUGAAUUGUUGAAAAUGACCGAAACUACCAAAAAUCUGACAUUUAAUUCAAUAUGGCGGACUUCCUGUUGGGUUUAGACAAUGACUCCAAGAGACUUUUUUGUUUGCACUGAUGUGCUACAUAUGCAUGCCAAAUUUAAUAGUCAUAGGUGAAAGUCUCUGUGGAGGCUAUUUUUUAAAUGCUGUAGGGGACGCUAUGGUACAUGCUGUGAAUGUAUUUUAGGCUAUAAAUGUGAUCAGGACAGGACUGUAUUUAAUCAUGUGAGGUAUGAGGUAGAUUGGAGCAUGCAGAGGAUAGUUAGAUAACACUUGAUGUUUCAUGGCGAACCAUCAAAUUUCUGGAGGUCGCCAUGUCCACACCCUUUGACUCUGGAAGAAUCUUUUAAUAACUUUUGAUCAUAACACCGUGUUGUAUAUCCUGGUAAAAUUUGAGGUCUCGAGGAGUUAUCCCCUAGGAGGAGAUCGCUCUCAAAAAUUAAAAAAAUAGAGAAAAUUUAUCCACGUAAUUCAAAAUGGCGGACUUCCUGUUGAGUUUAGGGGAUGGCUCCAAGAGGCUUUUUUGUGUGUCCUGGUGUGCUCUAUAGGCCUCCCAAAUUUUGUGGAUGUUGGUGAAACAUGCUGCGGGGGCUGUUUAUUAAACAUACUGUAGGGGGCGCUAUAGCACAUGCCCUGUAGAAAUGCAUACAGUGUUAUUCCUUGAGACGACUGUGAUGUGUGUGUAAAUUUUGGUGAGCUGUUGAACAUUCUAAGCCUGUCAAAAAGUACUUUGUUUGUCACAAAAACAACGCGUUGCCACGGCAACAGCAUUUCAUCAAAUAUCAAAAUCUUCAGACUGUGGCAUUGUCAGGGGGUGAAGACUGAGCUGACCAAUUUCCAGAAGGAUAUGAGAAAGUUUGGAGCAAUAAUGCAAGCAAAUGUAAUUUCUAAACUACUUGUUACCAAUAGGUGGCGCUAUGACUUUUUCUAAAUUUUUCAGUGUGGAUGUCCUCAAACUGGUUCUGGUGUCCAGCACAUGAAGUUUGGGGCAGACAGGAUCCUUUGCAGCUGAGAUAUGAACACUUCAAUUUUCAUGGCGAAACAUCAAACUUUGCCGUCCCGCCACAGACACGCCUUUUUAUCACACGUCACCAUUUUUUCUGUGAUUCAUCAUCAAUGUGUUCAGGCUUAUGUCGCCACAUCUGAGGUGAAUCUGGCCAACAGGCUAAGAAUAGUCCAUGAAAGUGUAAAAAAUGUCAAAUUCUUGAUACCACAAGGUGGCGCUGUGACUGUGAAUGAAUCUUGCUAUAUGGAUGUCAUCGAGGCAGGUCUGUGAUCAUACAUGUAAAGUUUCAUUCAGAUCGGAGCAUGUUCAGGAGAGUUACACAGCAUUUCCUGUUUCAUGGCGAAGGAUCAAAUUUUGACAGGCCGCCACGACCACACCCUUUAACUAUGGAGGAAGAUUUUGAUAACUUUUUCCCAGGAAGGCCUGCUGUAUGUACUGGCAAAAUUUCAGAUCGCUCAGACUUUCCCCCUAGGAGGAGUUCAUCAUAGAUUUUGUACAGUUAACGCAUGAUGGCGCACUUCCUGUUGGGUUUAGAGCAUGGCUGUGAUUGCCUUUUUUGUGUUUCCUGAUGUGCUGCAUAUGCCUCCCAAAUUUUUUAGCUCUCGGCCAAAUGCCCUCUGAGUUGGCCUAAUACCACUUUUUAAAAUUUUGUAGGGGGCGCUAUGGAGUCAUUUUUGCACACACCUCCACAUGCCCUAAAAAAUAUGAAAUUUUUCGCCAGUUCUGAUGUGUGUGCAAAUUUUCAUGACUUUUCGAGCAUGUUCAGGCCAUGAAAAAUGCAGUUCUUUUGGCAGAAUAAUAAUAAUAAUAAUAAUAAAAAACCCUAAGGUUUCAAUAGGGUCCUUCGGCACCGUUGGUGCCUUGGACAGCCGGUGCACUUGCACCGCCUGUCCUCGGCACCUUGGUGCUCGGACCCUAAUUAAAGCUGCGAGCAGCGUUGAACGGGUCCUCGCAUCCUUGCUGGUCGGCGACCCCAAGCCUUUCCACCAGGCAAUACUACGACUGAGAGUGUAUGUAGGCCCAUGAAUGUCACAAAGGCUGGAUUCUUAGCACACAGGUCAAAUUUCAGGCAGAUUGGAGCAUGUACAGGCUAUUUAUGCAGCACUUUCUGUCCAUCCACCAGGUGGCGCUAUCUCUGUGUCUGUCUAUUGGUCUAUGAAACUCAUAAGGACCGGUCUCUGAUCAAACAUGUAAAGUUUCAGGCAAAUUGCAGCAUUUACAGGGGAUUUACAUAUUAUGUCCUGCUUCAUGGCGUAACAUUGUAGUUCAGUUGGCCGCCAUGGCCACGCCCUUUGAGUUUUGUGAACAAUUUUCGCAAAUACUCAACCUGAAGGCGUGUAGUAUAUAUUGUCCCAAUUUCAGGUGUUUUGGAGCUAUUGCCUGUGAGAAAUGAAUUGUUGAAAAUGAUCAAAAACACCAAAAAUCUGACAUUUAAUUAAAAAUGGCCGACAUUCUGUUGGGUUUAGAGAAUGACUCCAAGAGACUUUUUUGUUUGCACUGACAUGCUACAUUUGCAUGCCAAAUUUCAUAGUCCUAGGUGAAAGUCUCUGUGGAGGCUAUUUUUUAAAUGCUGUAGGGGGCGCGAUGGUACAUGCUGUGAAUGUAUUUUAGUCUAUAAAUGUGAUCAGGACAGGACUGUGUUUAAUCAUGUGAGGUCUGAGGUAGAUUGGAGCAUGCAGAGGAUAGUAAGAUACCACUUGAUGUUUCAUGGCGAACCAUCAAAAUUCUGGAGGUCGCCAUGUCCACACCCUUUGACUCCGGAAGAAUCUUUUAAUAACUUUUGAUCAUAACAUCGUGUUGUAUACCCUGGUAAAAUUUGAGGUCUCUGGGAGUUAACCCCGAGGAGGAGUUCGCUCUCAAAAAUUAAAAAAAUAGAGAAAAUUUAUCCACAUAAUUCAAAAUGGCGGACUUCCUGUUGAGUUUAGGGGAUGGCUCCAAGAGGCUUUUUUGUGCAUCGUGAUGUGCUCUAUCGGCCUCCCAAAUUUUGUGGAUGUCGGUGAAACAUGCUGCCGGGGCUGUUUAUUAAACAUACUGUAGGGGGCGCUAUAGCACAUGCCCUGCAGAGAUGCAUACAGUGUUAUUCCUUGAGGGGACAGUGAUGUGUGUGUAAAUUUUAGUGAGCUGUUGAGCAUUCUAAGCCUGUCAAAAAGUACUUUGUUUGUCACAAAAACAACGCGUUGGCACGGCAACAGCAUUUCAUCAAAUAUCAAAAUCUUCACACUGUGGUAUUGUCUGGGGGUGAAGAAUCAGCUGACCAAUUUUCAGAAUGAUAUGACAAAGUUUGGAGCAAUGAUGUGUGCAAAUGUAAUUUCUAAACUGCUUGUUACCAAGAGGUGGCGCUAUGACUUUUUCUAAAUUUUUCAGUGUGGAUGUCCUCAAACUGGUUCUGGUGUCCAGCACAUGAAGUUUGGGGCAGACACGAUUAGGAUUUGCUGAGAUAUAAACAUUUUAGUCGUCAUGGCGAGACAUCUAAAUUCGCCGCGCCGCCACAGACACACCUUUUUAUGACACGUCACCAUUUUCACUGUGAAUAAUCAUCAACAUGUUAAGGUUUAUUUCACCACAUUUGAGGUGAAUCUGAGCAAGAGACAAAGAAUAAUACAUCAAAGUGUAAAAAAUGACAUUUUCUGUUGCCAGCAGGUGGCGCUCUGACUGUGAAUGGAUUUCAUCAUAUGGAUGUGAUCAGGGCAGGAAUCUGAUCAUACAUAUAAAGUUUCAGGCAGAUUGGAGCAUGUUCAGGGCAUUUACACACAACUUGAAAUUUCAUGGCGAAGGAUCAAAAUUCCACAGACCGCCACGGACACGCCCUUUGACUUUUGAAAAAGAUUUUAAUAACUUUUGCUCAUUAAGGCCUCCUGUAUGUACUGGUCGAAUUUGAGGCGAAUUGGAGUUUCCCCCUGGGAGGAGUUCGCUCUGGAAAAAAAUGAAAAAUGGGCAAAAUCUGACAUUCAACUUAAAAUAGCUCACUUCCUGUUGGGUUUGGAAUAUGGCUGUCACUGACUUUUUUGUUCAGUCUGAUGUGCUGCAUAUGUGUACCAAAUUUGGUAGCUGUAGGUGAAACAUGAUGGCCGUGGGAAAGUGUAGGGGGCGCUAUGGAGCCAUUUUGCCACACACCUCCACAAUUCCUUUAAAAUAUGAAAUUUUUCACCAGUCCUGAUGUGUGUACAAAUUUUCAUGAGUUUUUGAGCAUGUUUAGGCCCUCAAAAAUGCAAUUGUUCUGAGAGACAAAUAAUAAUAAUAAUUAAAGCUGCGAGCAGCAUUGAACGGGUCCUCGCAUCCUUGCUGGUCGGCGACCCCAAGCAUGUCCACCAGGCAAUGCUGCGACAAAGUGUAUUUAGGCUCAUGGAUGUAACGAGGACUGGAUUCUGAGCACUCAGGUCAAAUUUCAGACAGAUUGGAGCAUGUACAGACUAUUUUUGCAGCACUUUGUGUCCAUCCACCAGGUGGCACUAUGUCUGUGGUCUAUGAAACUCAUCAGGACUGGACUCUGAUCAAACAUGUAAAGUUUGAGGUAGAUUACUGCAUGUACAGGGGAUUUACACAAGACGUCCUGCUUCAUGGCGUAACAUUAAAGUUCAGUUGGCCGCCAUGGCCAUGCCCUUUGAGUUUUGUGAACAAUUUUCGCAAAUAUGCAACCUGAAGGCGUUUCUUAUAUAUUUUCCCAAAUUCAGGUGUUUUGGAGUUAUUGCCAGUGACAAAUGAAUUGUUGAAAAUGACCAAAAACACCAAAAAUCUGACAUUUAAUUCAAAAUGGCUGACUUUCUGUUGUGUUUAGAGAAUGACUCCAAGAGACUUUUUUGCUUGCACUGAUGUGCUACAUAUGCAUGCCAAAUUUCAUAGUCAUAGGUGAAAGUCUGUGUGGAGGCUAUUUUUUAAAUUCUUUUAGGGGGCGCUAUGACACAUGCUGUGGAUGUAUUUUGGCCUGUAAAUGUGAUCAGGACAGGACUGUGUUUAAUCAUGUGAGGUCUGAGGUAGAUUGGAGCAUGCAGAGGAUAUUUAGGUAGCACUUGAUGUUUCAUGGCGAACCAUCAAAAUUCUGGAGGUCGCCAUGUCCACACCCUUUGACUCUGCAAGAAUCCUUUGAUAACUUUUGAUCAUAACAUCGUGUUGUAUAUCCUGGCAAAAUUUCAGCUCUCUAGACCUUAACCCCGAGGAGGAGUUCGCUCUCAAAAAUGAAAAAAAUACAGAAAUUUUAUCCACUUAAUUCAAAAUGGCGGACUUCCUGUUGAGUUUAGGGGAUGGCUCCAAGAGGCUUUUUUGUGUGUCCUGGUGUGCUCUAUAGGCCUCCCAAAUUUUGUGGAUGUAGGUGAAACAUGCUGCCGGGGCUGUUUAUGAAACAUACUGCAGGGGGCGCUAUAGCACAUGCCCUGCAGAGAUGCAUACAGUGUUAUUCCUUGAGACGACUGUGAUGUGUGUGUAAAUUUUGGUGAGCUGUUGAACAUUCUAAGCCUGUCAAAAAGUACUUUGUUUGUCACAAAAACAACGCGUUGCCACGGCAACAGUAUUUCAUCAAAUAUCAAAAUCUUCACACUGUGGUAUUGUCUGGGGGUGAAGAAUCAGCUGACCAAUUUUCAGAAUGAUAUGACAAAGUUUGGAGCAAUGAUGUGUGCAAAUGUAAUUUCUAAACUGCUUGUUACCAAGAGGUGGCGCUAUGACUUUUUCUAAAUUUUUCAGUGUGGAUGUCCUCAAACUGGUUCUGGUGUCCAGCACAUGAAGUUUGGGGCAGAUAGGAUCCUUUGCAGCUGAGAUAUGAACACUUCAAUUUUCAUGGCGAAACAUCAAACUUUGCCGUCCCGCCACAGACACGCCUUUUCAUCACACGUCACCAUUUUUUCUGUGCUUCAUCAUCAAUGUGUUCAGGCUUAUGUCACAACAUCUGAGGUGAAUCUGAGCAACAGGCUAAGAAUAGUACAUGAAAGUGUAAAAAAUGUCAAAUUCUUGAUACCACAAGGUGGCGCUGUGACUGAAUGAAUCUUGCUGUAUGGAUGUCAUCGAGGCAGGUCUGUGAUCAUACAUGUAAAGUUUCAUUCAGAUCGGAGCAUGUUCAGGAGAGUUAGACAGCAUUUCCUGUUUCAUGGCGAAGGAUCAAAUUUCGACAGGCCGCCACGACCACACCCUUUAACUAUGGAGGAAGAUUUUGAUAACUUUUUCUCAGGAAGGUCUGCUGUAUGUACUGGCAAAAUUUCAGAUCGCUCAGACUUUCCCCCUAGGAGGAGUUCAUCAUAGAUUUUGUACAGUUAACGCAUGAUGGCGCACUUCCUGUUGGGUGUAGAGCAUGGCUGUGAUUGACUUUUUUGUGUUUCCUGAUGUGCUGCAUAUGCCUCCCAAAUUUUUUAGCUCUCGGCCAAAUUCCCUCCGAGUUGGCCUAAUACCACUUUUUAAAAUUUUGUAGGGGGCGCUAUGGAGCCAUUUUGCCACACACCUCCACAAUUCCUUUAACAUAUGAAAUUUUUCACCAGUCCUGAUGUGUGUACAAAUUUUCAUGAGUUUUUGAGCAUGUUUAGGCCCUCAAAAAUGCAAUUGUUCUGAGAGACAAAUAAUAAUAAUAAUUAAAGCUGCGAGCAGCGUUGGACGGGUCCUCGCAUCCUUGCUGGUCGGCGACCCCAGGCAUGUCCACCAGGCAAUGCUGCGACAAAGUGUAUUUAGGCUCAUGGAUGUAACGAGGACUGGAUUCUGAGCACUCAGGUCAAAUUUCAGACAGAUUGGAGCAUGUACAGACUAUUUUUGCAGCACUUUGUGUCCAUCCACCAGGUGGCACUAUGUCUGUGACUGUAUAGUGGUCUAUGAAACUCAUCAGGCCUGGACUCUGAUCAAACAUGUAAAGCUUGAGGUCGAUUACAGCAUGUACAGGGGAUUUACACAAGACGUCCUGCUUCAUGGCGUAACAUUAAAGUUCAGUUGGCCGCCAUGGCCAUGCCCUUUGAGUUUUGUGAACAAUUUUCGCAAAUAUGCAACCUGAAGGCGUUUCUUAUAUAUUUUCCCAAAUUCAGGUGUUUUGGAGUUAUUGCCAGUGACAAAUGAAUUGUUGAAAAUGACCAAAAACACCAAAAAUCUGACAUUUAAUUCAAAAUGGCUGACUUUCUGUUGUGUUUAGAGAAUGACUCCAAGAGACUUUUUUGCUUGCACUGAUGUGCUACAUAUGCAUGCCAAAUUUCAUAGUCAUAGGUGAAAGUCUGUGUGGAGGCUAUUUUUUAAAUUCUUUUAGGGGGCGCUAUGGUAGAUGCUGUGAAUGUAUUUUGGCCAAUAAAUGUGAUCAGGACAGGACUGUGUUUAAUCAUGUGAGGUCUGAGGUAGAUUGGAGCAUGCAGAGGAUAGUUAGGUAGCACUUGAUGUUUCAUGGCGAACCAUCAAAAUUCUGGAGGUCGCCAUGUCCACACCCUUUGACUCUGCAAGAAUCCUUUGAUAACUUUUGAUCAUAACAUCGUGUUGUAUAUCCUGGCAAAAUUUCAGCUCUCUAGACCUUAACCCCGAGGAGGAGUUCGCUCUCAAAAAUGAAAAAAAUACAGAAAUUUUAUCCACUUAAUUCAAAAUGGCGGACUUCCUGUUGAGUUUAGGGGAUGGCUCCAAGAGGCUUUUUUGUGUGUCCUGGUGUGCUCUAUAGGCCUCCCAAAUUUUGUGGAUGCAGGUCAAACAUGCUGCCGGGGCUGUUUAUUAAACAUACUGCAGGGGGCGCUAUAGCACAUGCCCUGCAGAGAUGCAGACAGUGUUAUUCCUUGAGACGACUGUGAUGUGUGUGUAAAUUUUGGUGAGCUGUUGAACAUUCUAAGCCUGUCAAAAAGUACUUUGUUUGUCACAAAAACAAUGCGUUGCCACGGCAACAGCAUUUCAUCAAAUAUCAAAAUCUUCACACUGUGGUAUUGUCUGGGGGUGAAGAAUCAGCUGACCAAUUUUCAGAAUGAUAUGACAAAGUUUGGAGCAAUGGUGUGUGCAAAUGUAAUUUCUAAACUGCUUGUUACCAAGAGGUGGCGCUAUGACUUUUUCUAAAUUUUUCAGUGUGGAUGUCCUCAAACUGGUUCUGGUGUCCAGCACAUGAAGUUUGGGGCAGAUAGGAUCCUUUGCAGCUGAGAUAUGAACACGUCAAUUUUCAUGGCGAAACAUCAAACUUUGCCGUCCCGCCACAGACACGCCUUUUCAUCACACGUCACCAUUUUUUCUGUGCUUCAUCAUCAAUGUGUUCAGGCUUAUUUCACAACAUCUGAGGUGAAUCUGAGCAACAGGCUAAGAAUAGCACAUGAAAGUCUAAAAAAUGUCAAAUUCUUGAUACCACAAGGUGGCGCUGUGACUGUGAAUGAAUCUUGCUGUAUGGAUGUCAUCGAGGCAGGUCUGUGAUCAUACAUGUAAAGUUUCAUUCAGAUCGGAGCAUGUUCAGGAGAGUUAGACAGCAUUUCCUGUUUCAUGGCGAAGGAUCAAAUUUCGACAGGCCGCCACGACCACACCCUUUAACUAUGGAGGAAGAUUUUGAUAACUUUUUCUCAGGAAGGUCUGCUGUAUGUACUGGCAAAAUUUCAGAUCGCUCAGACUUUUCCCCUAGGAGGAGUUCAUCAUAGAUUUUGUACAGUUAACGCAUGAUGGCGCACUUCCUGUUGGGUGUAGAGCAUGGCUGUGAUUGACUUUUUUGUGUUUCCUGAUGUGCUGCAUAUGCCUCCCAAAUUUUGUUGCUCUCGACCAAACUCCCUCUGAGUUGGCCUAAUACCACUUUUUAAAAUUUUGUAGGGGGCGCUAUGGAGCCAUUUUUGCACACACCUCCACAUGCCCUACAAAAUAUGAAAUUUUUCGCCAGUUCUGAUGUGUGUGCAAAUUUUCAUGACUUUUUGAGCAUGUUUAGGCCCUCAAAAAUGCAGUUGUUCUGAGAGACAAAUAAUAAUAAUAAUAAUAAUAAUAAUAAUAAUUAAAGCUGCAAGCAGCGUUGAACGGGUCCUCGCAUCCUUGCUGGUCGGCAACCUCAAGCAUCUCCACCAGGCAAUGCUAUGACUGAGAGUGUAUUUAGGCCCAUGAAUGUCACAAAGGCUUGAUUCUGAGCACACAGGUCAAAUUUCAGGCAGAUUGGAGCAUGUACAGGCUAUUAAUUCAGCACUUUGUAUCCAUCCACCAGGUGGCGCUAUCUGUAUGACUAUAUAUUGGUCUAUGAAACUCAUCAGGACUGGACUCUGAUCAAACAUGUAAAGUUUGAGGCAGAUUGCAGCAUGU
Acanthochromis polyacanthus (spiny chromis) is the source of this 9301-nucleotide long non-coding RNA. RefSeq lists it as uncharacterized. The transcript has 3 exons. The record is from RefSeq and is a predicted model, not a curated record. NCBI's taxonomy places the organism in Eukaryota, Metazoa, Chordata, Actinopteri, Pomacentridae.